GAUGAACGCUAGCGGCAGGCCUUACACAUGCAAGUCGAACGGCAGCACGGGGCAACCUGGUGGCGAGUGGCGAACGGGUGAGUAAUGCAUCGGAACGUACCUUUCAGUGGGGGAUAACGUAGCGAAAGUUACGCUAAUACCGCAUAUUCUGUGAGCAGGAAAGCAGGGGAUCGCAAGACCUUGCGCUGAUUGAGCGGCUGAUGUCAGAUUAGCUAGUUGGUGAGGUAAAGGCUCACCAAGGCGACGAUCUGUAGCGGGUCUGAGAGGAUGAUCCGCCACACUGGAACUGAGACACGGUCCAGACUCCUACGGGAGGCAGCAGUGGGGAAUUUUGGACAAUGGGGGCAACCCUGAUCCAGCCAUGCCGCGUGAGUGAAGAAGGCCUUCGGGUUGUAAAGCUCUUUCGGCCGGGAAGAAAUCGCACGGGCUAAUACCCUGUGUGGAUGACGGUACCGGAAUAAGAAGCACCGGCUAACUACGUGCCAGCAGCCGCCGUAA
RNAcentral lists this ribosomal RNA (498 nucleotides) under uncultured bacterium. Its description in RNAcentral is "partial 16S ribosomal RNA". It matches the Rfam family "Bacterial small subunit ribosomal RNA", at positions 28 to 523 of the family's 1533-position model. The record is from RNAcentral.